AAUUGCAGAAUCCCGUGAACCAUCGAGUCUUUGAACGCAAGUUGCGCCCGAAGCCAUUAGGCCGAGGGCACGUCUGCCUGGGCGUCUCGCAACGCGUCGCCCCCCCUCCCGCCUAGCCUAGCGCUGCGGGCUCAUGGGGGCGGAUGGUGGCCUCCCGUGYGCGGGCAACGCGCGCGCGCGGCUGGUCGAAAAACGAGUCCCCGACGACGGACGUCACGACAGGUGGUGGUUGAGAGACCCUCGGUCGCGUCGCGUCGUGCGCGCCACCGUCGUCGAAGGCGGGMUCAAGUGACCCCUGCGCACCGGCAYCCCGUGCCGUGUGCCUCGACCGCGACCCCAGGUCAGGCGGGACCACCCGCUGAGUUUA
This 367-nucleotide ribosomal RNA is filed under the name Alangium chinense. RNAcentral describes it as "eukaryotic LSU rRNA". The record is from RNAcentral. Lineage: Eukaryota; Viridiplantae; Streptophyta; Magnoliopsida; Cornales; Cornaceae.